CCUACGGGAGGCAGCAGUGGGGAAUCUUGCGCAAUGGGCGAAAGCCUGACGCAGCCAUGCCGCGUGAAUGAUGAAGGUCUUAGGAUUGUAAAAUUCUUUCACCGGGGACGAUAAUGACGGUACCCGGAGAAGAAGCCCCGGCUAACUUCGUGCCAGCAGCCGCGGUAAUACGAAGGGGGCUAGCGUUGCUCGGAAUUACUGGGCGUAAAGGGAGUGUAGGCGGAUAGUUUAGUCAGAGGUGAGAGCCCAGGGCUCAACCUUGGAAUUGCCUUUGAUACUGGCUAUCUUGAGUAUGGGAGAGGUUAGCGGAACUCCGAGUGUAGAGGUGAAAUUCGUAGAUAUUCGGAAGAACACCAGUGGCGAAGGCGGCUAACUGGCCCAUUACUGACGCUGAGGCUCGAAAGCGUGGGGAGCAAACAGGAUUAGAUACCCUGGUAGUCCACGCCGUAAACGAUGAGUGCUAGUUGUCGGCAUGCAUGCAGGUCGGUGACGCGAGCUACGACAUAAGACACUCCGCCGUCGGGAGGUACGGUCGCGAGAUAAACUACAAAGAAGUAGACGGCGUGAGACGUGCCGACGGACGACGACGAGGGAGGUUAGG
This 601-nucleotide ribosomal RNA is filed under the name uncultured bacterium. RNAcentral describes it as "bacterial SSU rRNA". The stretch from base 1 to 518 matches the Rfam family "Bacterial small subunit ribosomal RNA", at positions 338 to 873 of the family's 1533-position model. The record is from RNAcentral.